GAGAGGUGGGGGUAGGGAAGGGGGAGGGGAGGCUGGCGCCAAAAUCCGGCUUGGCCUCGCGGAACGAACUAUCCCUCCCCAACCCCUGGCUCGGGGAAGCUUCCCAUACUACACACGGGGGUGGUCCGUUAGGUUCGAGCACCCACACUGCGUUGGGGGAAGGGUCCUGAUAAACAAGAGACUUGGAGGGCAUUCCCUGGACUCGUGACCAUGAGGGACCCCUACCCCAUCUCCACAGACUGGGAUUUGACCCGUCCUAGUACUCGGGAAUUCUCCACAGGCCCAGCCGAGCACAACAUUUGAGAAAUGUUGGUUGACCCUCCACUGACCUAAAGACUAGUAAAGAGAGGAAGUCCAACUCCAAGAGGUGGCUAUCAAACGUGUUUUGGGGCAAGAGUUGCAAAUUGAUGUCUCCGGUUUAAUGUGUCUAAACAAUAAAGAGUGUUCUAGCACAUCCUGCCUCAUCUGUAAAAGGAAGGGAUUGGACUCAUCAUGAGCCCUAAAUUACCUUCUAUCUUUAGAUCGAGGAUCCUCUCCAAAUAUCUGUGAUCUCUUCAGUGGGGCCAUGGCCUGCACCAUGCUAUUCCUAUGAGUUUGCCACAAGGAACCAUCCGACAUGCUGGGGACUUUCCUAAGUUCUCCUGAAGUCCCUGGGCUGCUGCCAAAGGAAGACAAAACCUGUCUGUACUUCACUCUGUCUACAUGGCCAGCUCAUCUUCACUAACAGUUCGUUUCUAUGCAGUGGUCCUUCCUAAUUUGUAAUGUGGGCCAGCCUGUUCCUCUCUUUCUCACAAUUGCCCUUUGUGCAAUCCUCACCUUCAAUGCUUGAGGGACUGGAAGUCAGGUAUUUAAAGCUAUUUGGCAUCAGAAGAACGAAAUGUUGGAAUAAAAAAUGGAUCUUUGUUCCAGGCACAGGCUACGACCAAUUAAAACAAUUUUGCCCUGUCCCAAAAGCAAUCCAGUUUGUCAGCCUCCUCCUCUCUCCACUCUGAGCCCAAGUCAUUGUCCAUCUUCAGUGUUAGUUCAUGAUGAAUGACUUCUAUAGAGUUUCUGGCAUCCUACUGUGGACAAUAAACACACAAGCAUUUUUAUCCA
This is a long non-coding RNA of Monodelphis domestica (gray short-tailed opossum), 1095 nucleotides long. RefSeq lists it as uncharacterized. Lineage: Eukaryota; Metazoa; Chordata; Mammalia; Didelphimorphia; Didelphidae. The record is from RefSeq and is a predicted model, not a curated record.